RNAcentral lists this unclassified non-coding RNA (3020 nucleotides) under Monomorium pharaonis (pharaoh ant). RNAcentral describes it as "uncharacterized LOC118648898, transcript variant X3". Lineage: Eukaryota; Metazoa; Arthropoda; Insecta; Hymenoptera; Formicidae. The record is from RNAcentral.
GAGUGAGCAUUUGCGCUUGAGGAGAAAGGGACAAGUGGAAAUGUUUGACCGGUCUGCCUCUCUUUUCGAGCGAGAUGAGAAAGAGAGACAGACCGGUCGAACAUUUUUAUCUCUCUUUUUUUUUUAAUAUGUGCACCCUACCUCUUCUCUUCAAUGCUCGCUCUAUACUCUCUACGAUCCUGAUACUCGUCAGCGUGGACACACCAUGGUACAGCGGUAGUGUUUCCAGUCGAUAAGGCAGCUUCCGAGAGGCGCGGCUGCUCACUACCCUGGUCGAUUCAAGGACCCCGGUUCUCGUUGUCUUUCUCAGUCAACGGUUCUCUUCCCGUUUCUCUCUCUCUCUUUUUUUUUUUUCAAAACGCGAAAACGCGGGAUUACCUCUCGAAGGUAGUGAAAACCGUUUUCGCGGGAUUGGCUUGUCCCGCGGGAAGAACACUCGAAUCGCCAAGGAUCAUGAAAUCACGGCGAGUGACAGAGGCCGUUCCGUUAUCGGGACGCAUCUACGUUGUGCCUAUAACCCGCAAAAUGGCCGGAGCGCGUCCGUGGAUAUUCCUGCGCGUUAUCGUCGCGCAGUGACCUCUCGUCGAGGAAUAACAUCGCGUGUCGCUCACAUUAAUCCGGAAAACGGGGAUCCGCUGGCGGCCGGUCGCCGUCCGGAUGCGCACCGAAAAUUCUGUCGUUCAUCAUCGAUCGCGACAAAUGCGACGGGCUGCCAGAUCGAAAGUCGGAACUGGAAGAAGGUCGUAGGUUGUAACAUAGUUUCGGUGGAGGUCGGAUGUGUCUGCUCGUCAUUCGUGCAAGAUCGAUACUCGAAUAGGCAGAGGAUUCGCGAAGGGCAAGUUUCAUUCCGGUCGGCUGACAGGUUCGCGAGAAACCGACUGGAAACGAUCCUUUGACUGGCCAAUACAAGGUUACGUAAAAAAAAAAAUUCGGGGUUUCGUCGAGACUUUUUUUUUUAACGAUCGUUACGCGGCAUAUCUCGAUACCCUUCGUGACGCGUGUUUCGAUACUUUGCUGCCAAGUAAUCAAAGAUUAAAAGGCAGCGACCACCUUCUCCCUGUUCAUCGUAGUUUAUUUAUCCUCUUCUAUUAAUUCCCCCCCGCGCCCACAAUAACCGCGCCACGGCCAUUUACUGAGUAAUGAAUCGGCCCUGUUUCCAUUUACGACUUAGCACACGGAAUUGGAGCGACGCUGCGAAGGGGUGGCGGACAACGGGGUCGAUGAAAAGGUUAACGUUAGGUUGAGGUCGAUCGUAAGCCUUCUGUCACUACUCUCUUUUCCUUCUUUCUCUGUUAAUUAUCUUCUACCCGACGUGAAAGAAGUAGCGUCCGUUGAACGUAAUCUUCGGACUUGGUUUUCAUUCCGUUCAAAAUUCACAGUUUAUUUAUUCUCGCUUUGAUCAGGGGGGAAAAAAAGAGAACAAAUCCGAACAUCUCAUCAGACAUUGUAAACAACGAACGAUACGGAUUAUCGAUACAGAUUCUGGUGAAACCGAAGCGGCAAAGUAGAUUGCUUUUCCAUUUAGGUGUAACACGUUUCAUCGUGUGAUCGGUUUUUAAUUAUUCUAAUAAUAUCGUGGAAAAAGAGAAUUAAAAUAGUUCUCGUCGUCAAGUCAGAAACAUCAUUUGGCUGACAUCAGCUAAUUUGAUCCAGUUUUUCUCGAAUGAGGAUAUAUUGGAUAAUAUCGAUUUACACUUUCACCUUAUAUUGAGAUUCGACCAAGUUUUCUUCAAUUAUAUACGAUACAAAAAUAUCAUUGCUCUGUAUAUUCGAUCGAAUUAAACUUUAAAGAAUAUUUUCUAAUCUGUUUGACGAGACUUCAUCUGGAAUAAGAAGAAGAAAAGUCUUGCUCGUAAACUUGAAUAUCCGCGCAAAUUGUUUCAACUUCUCUGAUGAAAGUUCAACGAAGGAGAAAUACUGUCUUCCAUCAGCGAUUUUGCUCCGUAUAAUCCGUAACAUCAGCCGUAUUCUUUGUACGAUAUUCUUACAUUGCGAUAAUUUAGAAGCUGCCUUGCCGGAUGCGCAUCUGCAGCACUCUUAUCUUUUAUUCACUACCUUCAAAGUGCACCAUCGUGUGUUUCGAAGGCCAUAAUCGGGGCAAAAGAACGAGGAUAAGAUCACGAGAUAAGAUCGGAUCUCGUCUCCAAUCUUAUUCGGUAGUUUCCGCGGCCUUUGCUUCACAAAUGAAGAGUUUCAAAGCCAGUGCAUAUUCGGCAUAAUGGGACGUCUAGCUGGAAAACAUGGACGAAUUUAUUUCAGAAGACGAAGAAGUGUUCUCGCCCGCGAACGACCAAACGAAUAGUGGCCGGACGCUUCGCUAUUCCCUUUGGGGUUUGACUAGCUGUCGCAUUAGCCGGGUAAGGCGUGUCAACGGGUCGAAAGAGCAACAAGCCCCUAUCAACAAGACUGCUCCGCGUCGAGUCACGUUGAUAAAACUACUGAGGUUGGAUUUCGCAUGGUUGCUAGUGGUGAUGCGGUGGUGGUCGUGCGCUCGCCGUGGGGAGGGACACAAGUGUGGGGAAUACGAACGGAGGACCGGUGGACGUUGGGGUGGGUUUGUCGUGCAACCCUCCCGGUCCCCGCGCAGGUGACUCAGGGCACCGCCGCCAGGCGGCAGCACUGCCUCCGACCGAAGAGAAACGCAACUCGAAGCGGCACCAGGAAACGAAUUGCCGCUUACGCUGGCAGAGGGUUACUCGCGGGGCGAUCCACGGAUGUCCCUUGGCAAAGAGAGAGAAAGAGAGAGAGCAUAAUCCACCAAAGGAAGAGAAAGAAAAGAUGCGGGGAGAAAGCUCGGAGUGCCUUGCCAGCGCGGAGGAACGUGGUCCACGGGAAAAAAGAGGGAGAGAAGGGGAAAGGACUCGCCAUGUUUAAAUCCCCUUUAUAACGCUAACCCCUUUGAAACCGGCCAUUCAUCUGGACAAUCGCUACAGACUGAUGAGACACGAACCGAUGCUGGAUGCCGACGGUAACAGGACCAAUGUGAUUGGAGAGGAUUGUUAAUCGAGAAGAGAUGGAAG